This 471-nucleotide ribosomal RNA is filed under the name Triticum aestivum (bread wheat). RNAcentral describes it as "partial small subunit ribosomal RNA". Lineage: Eukaryota; Viridiplantae; Streptophyta; Magnoliopsida; Poales; Poaceae. The record is from RNAcentral.
AUGGCCUACUUCAAUGAGAAAGCGAAGGAAGAUCCAUAUUUCUUCUACAGGAUAAGGUUGGACAAUGAGGACCGUGUCAGGAACAUGUAUUGGGUGGAUGGUGCUGCAAGGAGAGCCUACAAACAUUUCUGAGAUUGCAUUUCAUUCGACGCGACGUAUCUGACUAAUAUGUACAAGAUGCCAUGCACUCCGUUCAUAGGAAUAAAUAACCACAAUCAGUCGUUGCAGUUCGGCCGCGGGCUCGUUUGGAACGAAGACACGGAUGGGUACGUUUGGCUGUUCAAGACCUUCUUGGAGUGCAUGGAUGGACUUGCUCCGAUGAACAUAAUAACAGACCAGGAUUUCAGCAUGCGUGCAGGCAUAGAGGAGGUAUUUCCGUUGGCAGUGCAUAGGCACUGCAGGUGGCACAUUAUAAAGAAGGCUGAGGAGACGCUAGGACCGUUCUUUGCUGACCGUCCAGAGCUGCACUAG